Erinaceus europaeus (western European hedgehog) is the source of this 101-nucleotide ribosomal RNA. Lineage: Eukaryota; Metazoa; Chordata; Mammalia; Eulipotyphla; Erinaceidae. The record is from Ensembl.
GUCUAUGGCCAUACCACCCUAAACACGCCCGAUCUCGGAAGCUAAGCAGGGUUGGGCCUGGUUAGUACUUGGAAGGGAGAUAUCCAAGUUUGGCAUACAUG